UACGUAGGGUGCGAGCGUUAAUCGGAACUACUGGGCGUAAAGCGUGCGCAGGCGGUUUUGCAAGCCGGAUGUGAAAUCCCCGGGCUCAACCUGGGAAUGGCAUUUGGGACUGCAAGGCUCGAGUGCGGCAGAGGAGACUGGAAUUCCUGGUGUAGCAGUGAAAUGCGUAGAUAUCAGGAGGAAUACCGAUGGCGAAGGCAGGUCUCUGGGCUGACACUGACGCUCAUGCACGAAAGCGUGGGGAGCAAACAGG
RNAcentral lists this ribosomal RNA (253 nucleotides) under uncultured bacterium. Its description in RNAcentral is "partial 16S ribosomal RNA". It matches the Rfam family "Bacterial small subunit ribosomal RNA", at positions 524 to 776 of the family's 1533-position model. The record is from RNAcentral.